CUGGUGGUGGAGAGACACUUUGCCUCCACAGUUUCCCCUUCGAAUGAUGUACUGAGAUGAACCACAGUGAACAGACAGACAUCUUAAGGCUGCGCUGUGCACUUGGAGAAGAAGAAACAGCUGCAGACAGAGACCAGGAACCAGUUCAACAUCACAUCUGGCAAUAACGGGCCAAGACGAACCCUCCGCUGCAUUGGCUAUGUAGCAGGGCAAAUGUCUACUGGGGACCCGGGGCGAUGCUCCCCCCCCCCCCGUCUGGGCUCAUCUGCUCACCUUUCUACAAUCAGACCUCUAACCUCAAACACUUCAAUACCACGGCUUUCUCACGACUCGUCUCCAGGAUCCCUGAGGCAGACCGGCACUGACCCCCCCUGCAGGAGGGCGGUAGACGUGCAGAGUGCAGAACUCCAUCCCGCGCUACAGAUGUGUCAAACAAGGACUGCAUGGGAAGACAUCAGAAACAUUUCACGAGCAUAUGAGGACUUCCAGUGAAGGGAACAUGGAUCCAUUGUUCACUGACAUGGCUGCUGUCCUGUUGUUUUCCUCACUACUGUCCCUGGAUCUGUCUCACCCGCGCACGUGAGGAUAAACAACCAACCUCCCCCCCCGUUCCCAUUCAGGAGGUAGACCAAAUAGCUCUCUUACCACUUACCACAACAGCUGAGUCCAUCGUCCACCUGGGAGCUCAGCCGGACCGCCUCGGAGCCCGAGCAGCGACUGGAGACGUUCAUUUGGAACCAGCUCAUUGAUGUUAAUUCAUGUGUUGCCAAAAGAGUCAUGUGUGUGUAUAUAUAUAUAUUAAAAACACGUUUGUAUGCAAG
This is a long non-coding RNA of Gasterosteus aculeatus aculeatus (three-spined stickleback), 821 nucleotides long. Lineage: Eukaryota; Metazoa; Chordata; Actinopteri; Perciformes; Gasterosteidae. The record is from Ensembl.